Non-coding RNA from Paramuricea clavata, 1066 nucleotides. NCBI's taxonomy places the organism in Eukaryota, Metazoa, Cnidaria, Anthozoa, Malacalcyonacea, Plexauridae. The record is from the annotation of a GenBank genome assembly.
GAUUGCCGAUCCAAGAUGCCGAAAAUAGUGUCUCAGUUGGUUAAUGCAAUCACGAAGUUAGAUGGUUCUGUAGCAGUUGUCACUGGUGGUGCACGAGGAAUUGGAAAAGCGAUCACGAAGUCUUUGUUACAGAAGAAAGGAAAGGUAGCACAUGCAGACUUUAUAAUAUGGUUUACUGCCGUAUAAAUACCUUCUGGUUUGAAUAUACUAAUUAAUAUUUUUGUUUAUCACUAUGAACAUGAGUAACCCGGAAUCUUAUAUUUCAUUAAUUGUCUGAGCAGUGUAAAUGAUUAGCUUUGAUUAAUGGUUGCGGGCAUUACUGUAAGUCAAAGUUGCAAGUGUAAAGUGAGUGGCUAUAUCACUAAGAGGGCUUCAAUUGUAAUUCUGUGUUCCGUGACGAUGUCGCAUGCUUGCAAUCUGUGAUUGCUGUGAAUAAACUGUGAUCUCUUCAAAAUGGCCGAUGUUUAACAGAUAAUCUAUGGAAUUUCUUUGUUUCUAAGUUGUUUUCACUGCAGUUUACUGAAUUUAGAUUGCAGUUUUGUCCAAACUCAGAAGCGAGAAUGCCAGCAAGUAUACGACCUUUAUUUUGUAACUUAAUCCUUUACUGACAUAAUUAUCUGAUCAAUGGUGUAUCUGCGCUAAUUAUAGAUAAAAUAAACACCGAAAAAGCGUUUAGCCCCAGUUAUUGUAAUGUUUGCAAAUAUUUCUGUCUCGAUACUAAUAUCCUAAAAGAUUAUUGCAUUAAUGUUUUGAUUUAAAACUCUAACAAGCAAUAUGAUAUAGAAUUGUGUUGACAGAAUACUGAAAUUGAGGAGAUUAUAUUUCAGGCAAGACUCAAGAGAGUGUCUAUAUAUUAUCCAUACAAUACAGUAAGCCAAGAUUUUGGAGAAUUUGGACGAGAGCUCAUGUGGGAAACAUCUGCAAGCUUUUUUGUUGAAUGUUUUAUUUAGUGUACGUAGGUAGCGCAGGUUCGAUUAUACAUCAUAGUAAGUUUAACCACACACAUGCAUGUUUGUGUAUUGAUAUUAAAAACAAAGUUUAUCAAAUACUAAAUGGCCGGCAGUCU